UACGUAGGGACCAAGCGUUGUUCGGAUUUACUGGGCGUAAAGGGCGCGUAGGCGGCGCGGUAAGUCACUUGUGAAAUCUCUGAGCUUAACUCAGAACGGCCAAGUGAUACUGCAGUGCUAGAGUGUGGAAGGGGCAAUCGGAAUUCUUGGUGUAGCGGUGAAACGCGUAGAUAUCAAGAGGAACACCUGAGGUGAAGACGGGUUGCUGGGCCAACACUGACGCUGAGGCGCGAAAGCCAGGGGAGCAAACGGG
RNAcentral lists this ribosomal RNA (253 nucleotides) under uncultured bacterium. Its description in RNAcentral is "partial 16S ribosomal RNA". It matches the Rfam family "Bacterial small subunit ribosomal RNA", at positions 524 to 776 of the family's 1533-position model. The record is from RNAcentral.